Molecule: long non-coding RNA, 347 nt
Organism: Clarias gariepinus (North African catfish)
Lineage: Eukaryota; Metazoa; Chordata; Actinopteri; Siluriformes; Clariidae
Exons: 3
Source: RefSeq, a predicted model, not a curated record
GAUAUAUCGGUCGACCUCUAAUGUAAAGUAGCCGAAGUGCAUAAGGACUGGUACACUCAGUAUGUAAACGGUGACCCAGAUACCACCAGAAAAGAAGAAGAGCAGGAGAGGAAGAAAAAGCAGUAUUUGAAAGAAAAAAAGCUGAUCGAAGAACAAGUGCGACGAGGCAGGGAGGGAAAAGAGCCCGAGGAAAGGGUAUUCAAGGAAUUCAAACGCAAGAAUGAUGAGAAGAUUUCCUUCACCUGGGCUGCCAGAUCUUCCUCUGCAGGCCCAGCCAAAGCAAGAACAUCGUGGGCUUCCACUGCAUCUGUCAGAAAAGAAACUUGUGUCCAGGAGAAAAAGAAAAA